UACGAAGGGGGCUAGCGUUGCUCGGAAUGACUGGGCGUAAAGGGCGCGUAGGCGGUUCGUACAGUCAGACGUGAAAUUCCCGGGCUCAACCUGGGGGCUGCGUUUGAUACGUGCGGGCUUGAGUUCGGAAGAGGGUCGUGGAAUUCCCAGUGUAGAGGUGAAAUUCGUAGAUAUUGGGAAGAACACCGGUGGCGAAGGCGGCGACCUGGUCCGUUACUGACGCUGAUGCGCGAAAGCUAGGGGAGCAAACGGG
Molecule: ribosomal RNA, 253 nt
Filed under: uncultured bacterium
Lineage: Bacteria
Description: partial 16S ribosomal RNA
Rfam family: Bacterial small subunit ribosomal RNA
Source: RNAcentral